GGUUGCCUUAUACGAACUCCUACGCUCGUGUACCACUUCACCGUCUACUCCACCAGAAUCUACUACUUCAGAUGAGUUACGUAAACGGUUAGUUGAUUGACAUCAUGUCAAACAUCGCAUUGGAUUUGAACCGGAUAUUGCAGGGUACGAAUGGAAGAUAUCGAGAUGCUCUGCAAGUUGACUGCCGACUUUUAUGGAAUACAGACCAUUUUUGUCGAUGGGCAAGGUGAGGGACUUUUUGUAGGCAAAUUGGUUUAUAGUUUGUAGUUUGUAGUCAAGAGUAUGAAGCUUGUAGUUGCACUGGUCUUUGUUUUUUUUGGACAUAUUUUAUUCACCCCAUAAAAUUUGAUGAUCUCCAUCUCUAAAAAUUAUUCAAAUUGCGUCCACGGCGCCAUCCUGCCAUAUGACAGAUGUUUUUUUUUUUCAUCAAUUCUUCAAGCGGUAUAGGUUCAGAGGUGUCACACGCGUGUCCUCAUCAUCAUUUUACCCCCUACCAAUUUCCCUUUCAUUCUGAUAAAAUGGGUAAAACGAUGAGACCAAUUUGAAUGCGAUCCAUUUGAAUAAGAUGCGCGUGCUGCGAACAAAAAAAAACAUAGAAGGUUUGAAGAUGGGGGAACAAAUUUACAUUUUUAUGACGUGCCAAAUUGCAUGGGGAAAUUGACUAUUUUGAACUGAAAGCGGGCAGUUACUGGGUGGAUUUAGAUUUGGAAAAAUUGCGGGAUUUUGAAAUUAUUCUGCUUUUAGGGAGCUCUUAAACAGCAUGAAAAGUAUUCCUAAAUUUGAAAUUACGAGAUUAAGUUACUAAAGUUACACAGUUUUGAGCACAUUUACAUACUUGGUAUCAAAAAGUUUCAGCCUAAAAGUCACUAUUUUCCAGACCGCGAGUUCCUGGCAAUGGAAGAUGUGACAAUUGGCUAUCAGAGACCGGCGAUACUGGAUCUAAAAAUGGGACAAGUGACCUAUGAUCCAAUUGCAAAACCAGAGAAAAUUGAAAAAGAACGAAUCAAGUAUCCGCCACAGGCCAAGAUGGGAAUGCGGAUUCUUGGAUAUAGG
This 1053-nucleotide small RNA is filed under the name Caenorhabditis elegans. RNAcentral describes it as "Unclassified non-coding RNA ZK795.10". Lineage: Eukaryota; Metazoa; Nematoda; Chromadorea; Rhabditida; Rhabditidae. The record is from RNAcentral.